GACGAACGCUGGCGGCGUGCCUAACACAUGCAAGUCGAGCGAUUCUCUUCGGAGAAGAGCGGCGGACGGGUGAGUAACGCGUGGGUAACCUGCCCUGUACACACGGAUAACAUACCGAAAGGUAUGCUAAUACGGGAUAACAUAAGAAAUUCGCAUGUUUUUCUUAUCAAAGCUCCGGCGGUACAGGAUGGACCCGCGUCUGAUUAGCUAGUUGGUGAGGUAAUGGCCCACAAAGGCGACGAUCAGUAGCCGACCUGAGAGGGUGAUCGGCCACAUUGGAACUGAGACACGGUCCAAACUCCUACGGGAGGCAGCAGUGGGGAAUAUUGCACAAUGGGCGAAAGCCUGAUGCAGCAACGCCGCGUGAGCGAUGAAGGCCUUCGGGUCGUAAAGCUCUGUCCUCAAGGAAGAUAAUGACGGUACUUGAGGAGGAAGCCCCGGCUAACUACGUGCCAGCCGCCGCGGUAA
RNAcentral lists this ribosomal RNA (468 nucleotides) under uncultured bacterium. Its description in RNAcentral is "partial 16S ribosomal RNA". It matches the Rfam family "Bacterial small subunit ribosomal RNA", at positions 28 to 523 of the family's 1533-position model. The record is from RNAcentral.